This 250-nucleotide unclassified non-coding RNA is filed under the name plant metagenome. RNAcentral's name for it is "partial contains small subunit ribosomal RNA, internal transcribed spacer 1, and 5.8S ribosomal RNA". The record is from RNAcentral.
GUAGGUGAACCUGCGGAAGGAUCAUUACCGAGUUAGGGUUCUGCUUGCAGGCCCGAUCUCCCAACCCUUUGUCUACCUUACCUUGUCGUUGCUUCGGCGGACCGGUUUGACCCACUGGUCGUGACCGCCCGGGGUUUCGACCCCAGGAGAGCGUUCGCCGACGGCCCAACCACAAACUCUUGUAUCAAACCAUGUCGUCUGAAUAUACUUGAUUAAAAUCAAAAACAAAACUUUCAACAACGGAUCUCUU